GUAGAGUAUAUGAUACCACAGGGAGACUCCGUUAUUAGCUAUGUAGAGUAUAUGAUAUCACAGGGAGACUCCGUUAUUAGCUAGGUAGAGUAUAUGAUACCACAGGGAGACUCCAUUAUUAGCUAUGUAGAGUAUAUCACCACAUGGGGAGACUCUAUUAUUAGCUAUGUAGAGUACAUGAUACCACAGGGAGACUCCGUUAUUAGCUAUGUAAAGUAAAUGAUACCACAGGGAGACUCCAUUAUUAGCUAUGUAGAGUAUAUGAUACCACCGGAGACUCCAUUAUUAGCUAUGUAAAGUAAAUUAUAUCACCGGAGACUCCAUUAUUAGCUAUGUAAAGUAAAUGAUACAACGGGAAGACUCCAUUAUUAGCUAUGUUAAGUAAAUGAUACCACGGGGAGACUCCAUUAUUAGCUAUGUAGAGUAUAUGAUACCACGGGGAAACUCCAUUAUUAGCUAUGUAAAGUAAAUGACACCACAGGGAGACUCCAUUAUUAGCUAUGUAAAGUAAAUGAUACCACGGGGAGACUCCAUUAGUUGUUAUGUAAAGUAAAUGAUACCACGGGGAGACUCCAUUAUUAGCUAUGUAAAGUAAAUGAUACCACGGGGAGACUCCAUUAUUAGCUAUGUAAAGUAAAUAAUACCACGGGGAGACUCCAUUAUUAGCUAUGUAAAGUAAAUGAUACCACGGGGAGACUCCAUUAGUUGUUAUGUAAAGUAAAUGAUACCACGGGGAGACUCCAUUAUUAGCUAUGUAAAGCAAAUGAUACCACAUGGGUAGACUCCAUUAUUAGCUAUGUAAAGUAAAUGAUACCACAGGGAGACUCCAUUAUUAGCUAUGUACUGUAAAUGAUACCAUGGGGAGACUCCAUUAUUAGCUAUGUAAAGUAAAUGAUACCACAGGGAGACUCCAUUAUUAUCUAUGUACUGUAAAUUAUACCGCAGGGAGACUCCAUUAUUAGCUAUGUAAAGUAAAUGACACCACGGGGAGACUCCAUUAUUAGCUAUGUAACGUAAAUGAUACCACGGGGAGACUCCAUUAGUAGCUAUGUAAAGUAUAUCACCACAUGGGGAGACUCCAUUAUUAGCUAUGUAAAGUAUAUCACCACAUGGGGAGACUCCAUUAUUAGCUAUGUAAAGUAAAUGACACCACAGGGAGACUCCAUUAUUAGCUAUGUAAAGUAAAUGACACCACAGGGAGACUCCAUUAUUAGCUAUGUAAAGUAAAUGAUACCACAGGGAGACUCCAUUAUUAGCUAUGUAAAGUAAAUGAUACCACGGGGAGACUCCAUUAUUAGCUAUGUAAAGUAAAUGAUACCACAGGGAGACUCCAUUAGUUGUUAUGUAAAGUAAAUGACACCACGGGGAGACUCCAUUAGUUGUUAUGUAAAGUAAAUGACACCACGGGGAGACUCCAUUAGUUGCUAUGUAAAGUAAAUGACACCACGGGGAGACUCCAUUAGUUGCUAUGCAAAGUAAAUGACACCACAGGGAGACUCCAUUAGUUGUUAUGUAAAGUAAAUGAUACCACGGGGAGACUCCAUUAUUAGCUAUGUAAAGUAAAUGACACCACGGGGAGACUCCAUUAGUUGUUAUGUAAAGUAAAUGACACCACGGGGAGACUCCAUUAUUAGCUAUGUAACGUAAAUGAUACCACAGGGAGACUCCAUUAUUAGCUAUGUAAAGUAUAUCACCACAUGGGGAGACUCCAUUAUUAGCUAUGUAAAGUAAAUGACACCACAGGGAGACUCCAUUAUUAGCUAUGUAAAGUAAAUGACACCACAGGGAGACUCCAUUAUUAGCUAUGUAAAGUAAAUGACACCAC
Molecule: long non-coding RNA, 1825 nt
Organism: Oncorhynchus tshawytscha (Chinook salmon)
Lineage: Eukaryota; Metazoa; Chordata; Actinopteri; Salmoniformes; Salmonidae
Source: Ensembl